This 439-nucleotide ribosomal RNA is filed under the name uncultured bacterium. RNAcentral's name for it is "SSU rRNA". It matches the Rfam family "Bacterial small subunit ribosomal RNA", at positions 26 to 518 of the family's 1533-position model. The record is from RNAcentral.
AGGAUGAACGCUGGCGGCGUGCUUAACACAUGCAAGUCGAGCGCCCAGCAAUGGGAGCGGCGGACGGGUGAGUAACACGUGGGAACAUGCCUUUCGGUACGGAACAACUUCGGGAAACUGAAGCUAAUGCCGUAUACGCCCUUACGGGGAAAGAUUUAUCGCCGAAAGAUUGGCCCGCGUCUGAUUAGCUAGUUGGUGAGGUAACGGCUCACCAAGGCUUCGAUCAGUAGCUGGUUUGAGAGAACGACCAGCCACACUGGGACUGAGACACGGCCCAGACUCCUACGGGAGGCAGCAGUGGGGAAUCUUGGACAAUGGAGGAAACUCUGAUCCAGCCAUGCCGCGUGAGUGAUGAAGGCCUUCGGUUGUAAACUCUUUACCGGAAGAUAAUGACUGUACCGGGAGAAUAAGCUCCGGCUAACUUCGCGCCAGCAGCCGC